CAAGACCAAAGAGGGGGACCUUCGGGCCUCUUGCCAUCAGAUGUGCCCAGAUGGGAUUAGCUAGUAGUGGGGUAACGGCUCACCUAGGCGAAGAUCCCUAGCUGGUCUGAGAGGAUGACCAGCCACACUGGAACUGAGACACGGACCAGACUCCUACGGGAGGCAGCAGUGAGGAAUAUUGGACAAUGGGUGAGAGCCUGAUCCAGCCAUCCCGCGUGAAGGACGACUGGCCUAUGGGUUGUAAACUUCUUUUGUAUAGGGAUAAACCUACCCUCGUGAGGGUAGCUGAAGGUACUAUACGAAUAAGCACCGGGUUAACUCCGUGCCAGCCAGCCGCGGUAAUACGGAAGGGUGCAAGCGUUAUCCCGGAUUUAUUGGGGUUUAAAGGGGUCCGUAAGCGGAUCUGUAAAGUCCAGGGGUGGAAAAUUCCUCACAAGGUUUUAAUUGGUGAAAACUGGGCCCAUUGGAUUACUUGGCGGGGUCUCGGAGUUGGUCGGUGAAAGUUANCNUGGGAAAUUAAGUUAAGUGGUACCGCGGUGAAAAUGGUUUAGGAUUUUUACUUUAGAAACACCAUUGGGCGAAAGGGCGGUUAUUAAGGCA
This 600-nucleotide ribosomal RNA is filed under the name uncultured bacterium. RNAcentral's name for it is "bacterial SSU rRNA". It matches the Rfam family "Bacterial small subunit ribosomal RNA", at positions 196 to 775 of the family's 1533-position model. The record is from RNAcentral.